UCCUACGGGGGGCAGCAGUGAGGAAUAUUGGUCAAUGGGCUUACGCCUGAACCAGCCAAGUCGCGUGAGGGAAGACUGCCCUAUGGGUUGUAAACCUCUUUUGUCAGGGAGCAACGCCGGCUACGUGUAGCCGGACUGAGAGUACCUGAAGAAAAAGCAUCGGCUAACUCCGUGCCAGCAGCCGCGGUAAUACGGAGGAUGCGAACGUUAUCCGGAUUUAUUGGGUUUAAAGGGUGCGUAGGCGGAAUGCCAAGUCAGCGGUAAAAUCGCGGGGCUCAACCCCGGCCCGCCGUUGAAACUGGCAG
RNAcentral lists this ribosomal RNA (305 nucleotides) under uncultured bacterium. RNAcentral's name for it is "bacterial SSU rRNA". It matches the Rfam family "Bacterial small subunit ribosomal RNA", at positions 337 to 639 of the family's 1533-position model. The record is from RNAcentral.